UCUGGCCUCAAAUCAGGUAGGACUACCCGCUGAACUUAAGCAUAUCAAUAAGCGAAGGAAAUUAAAUGAUUCUGAGUAGGCUCGCCUCUCACCCUCAUAAUCAUAAACACCCUGCACAUUGGAACCUGGAGUCUUUCGGGACUCCCGGUGUUUUGACAAUUUAAUCAAACANCACNUANCACAGGUUAUUUCUAAUAUUAACCUUAUUAAACUUUAACAA
RNAcentral lists this ribosomal RNA (220 nucleotides) under Goffeauzyma gastrica. RNAcentral's name for it is "partial 26S ribosomal RNA". The record is from RNAcentral. Lineage: Eukaryota; Fungi; Basidiomycota; Tremellomycetes; Filobasidiales; Filobasidiaceae.